Molecule: non-coding RNA, 135 nt
Organism: Triticum aestivum (bread wheat)
Lineage: Eukaryota; Viridiplantae; Streptophyta; Magnoliopsida; Poales; Poaceae
Source: Rfam
AUAAUACUCCCUCCGCCCGAAAAUACUUGUCAUCAAAAUGGACAAACUGGAAUGUAUCUAGAACUAAAAUACGUCUAGAUAUGUCUUCUUUUGUCCAUUUUGAUGACAAGUAUUUCUGGACGGAGGAAGUAGUUA